Molecule: unclassified non-coding RNA, 375 nt
Filed under: soil metagenome
Description: partial contains 5.8S ribosomal RNA, internal transcribed spacer 2, and large subunit ribosomal RNA
Rfam family: 5.8S ribosomal RNA (bases 1-120)
Source: RNAcentral
GAUGAAGAACGCAGCGAAAUGCGAUAAGUAAUGUGAAUUGCAGAAUUCAGUGAAUCAUCGAAUCUUUGAACGCACAUUGCGCCCGCCAGUAUUCUGGCGGGCAUGCCUGUUCGAGCGUCAUUUCAACCCUCAAGACCCCUUCGGGGGACUUGGUGUUGGGGACCGGCACAGGGGCCUGCCUGCUUGUCUUGCAGCGCCCUCGCCGCCCCCGAAAUGAAUUGGCGGCCUCGUCGCGGCCUCCCCUGCGUAGUAGCACAAACCUCGCAACGGGAACGUGACGGCGGCCACUGCCGUAAAACAACCCAAUUUUAUUAGAGUUGACCUCGAAUCAGGUAGGAAUACCCGCUGAACUUAAGCUUAUCAAUAAGCGGAGGA